RNAcentral lists this unclassified non-coding RNA (93 nucleotides) under Chryseobacterium takakiae. RNAcentral describes it as "Flavo-1 RNA". Lineage: Bacteria; Pseudomonadati; Bacteroidota; Flavobacteriia; Flavobacteriales; Weeksellaceae. The record is from RNAcentral.
CCCUAGCCGCGAUAGUAACGGUUACCCCACAGCAAACGCGGGCAAUGAAAGCUGCGGCUGCGCGAGGAGUAUGAGUGGAUAGCGCGAUAAAGC